GAUUUGAAAGGCGCUUUCGGGUGUCGCUGAUGGAUGGACCCGCGGUGCAUUAGCUAGUUGGUGAGGUAACGGCUCACCAAGGCGACGAUGCAUAGCCGACCUGAGAGGGUGAUCGGCCACAUUGGGACUGAGACACGGCCCAAACUCCUACGGGAGGCAGCAGUAGGGAAUCUUCGGCAAUGGACGAAAGUCUGACCGAGCAACGCCGCGUGAGUGAAGAAGGUUUUCGGAUCGUAAAACUCUGUUGUUAGAGAAGAACAAGGAUGAGAGUAACUGUUCAUCCCUUGACGGUAUCUAACCAGAAAGCCACGGCUAACUACGUGCCAGCAGCCGCGGUAAUACGUAGGUGGCAAGCGUUGUCCGGAUUUAUUGGGCGUAAAGCGAGCGCAGGCGGUUUCUUAAGUCUGAUGUGAAAGCCCCCGGCUCAACCGGGGAGGGUCAUUGGAAACUGGGAGACUUGAGUGCAGAAGAGGAGAGGGGAAUUCCAUGUGUAGCGGUGAAAUGCGUAGAUAUAUGGAGGAACACCAGUGGCGAAGGCGGCUCUCUGGUCUGUAACUGACGCUGAGGCUCGAAAGCGUGGGGAGCAAACAGGAUUAGAUACCCUGGUAGUCCACGCCGUAAACGAUGAGUGCUAAGUGUUGGAGGGUUUCCGCCCUUCAGUGCUGCAGCUAACGCAUUAAGCACUCCGCCUGGGGAGUACGACCGCAAGGUUGAAACUCAAAGGAAUUGACGGGGGCCCGCACAAGCGGUGGAGCAUGUGGUUUAAUUCGAAGCAACGCGAAGAACCUUACCAGGUCUUGACAUCCUUUGACCACUCUAGAGAUAGAGCUUCCCCUUCGGGGGCAAAGUGACAGGUGGUGCAUGGUUGUCGUCAGCUCGUGUCGUGAGAUGUUGGGUUAAGUCCCGCAACGAGCGCAACCCUUAUUGUUAGUUGCCAUCAUUUAGUUGGGCACUCUAGCAAGACUGCCGGUGACAAACCGGAGGAAGGUGGGGAUGACGUCAAAUCAUCAUGCCCCUUAUGACCUGGGCUACACACGUGCUACAAUGGGAAGUACAACGAGUCGCAAAGUCGCGAGGCUAAGCUAAUCUCUUAAAGCUUCUCUCAGUUCGGAUUGUAGGCUGCAACUCGCCUACAUGAAGCCGGAAUCGCUAGUAAUCGCGGAUCAGCACGCCGCGGUGAAUACGUUCCCGGGCCUUGUACACACCGCCCGUCACACCACGAGAGUUUGUAACACCCGAAGUCGGUGAGGUAACCUUUUGGAGCCAGCCGCCUAAGGUGGGAUAGAUGAUUGGGGUGAAGUCGUAACAAGGUAGCCGUAUCGGAAGGUGCGGCUGGAUCACCU
This 1343-nucleotide ribosomal RNA is filed under the name Enterococcus hirae. RNAcentral describes it as "bacterial SSU rRNA". It matches the Rfam family "Bacterial small subunit ribosomal RNA", at positions 197 to 1528 of the family's 1533-position model. Lineage: Bacteria; Bacillati; Bacillota; Bacilli; Lactobacillales; Enterococcaceae. The record is from RNAcentral.